AACAGAUUGGGAGGAGCAGUGCAGCACUGUGUGACUCACGCUGCGAAUGAGGGGAAAAGGAGAGGUGGAGAGAGAACGAACCCGGAGUCACACGAAAUGCAGUCAGAUUGAGCUGUCUGACGCGAACGUUUCAGCACAUGCAAGGGAGCUUCGUGGAGGAUCUUAUUUCCCCCUCCUUGAGUCUGGGCUGGCCAUGUGGCUGUUCAACAACAGAAAGCAGAAGAAGUGUACUGUGCCGUCCGGGGCCCAGGCUUUUAGAGAACUGUGGCUUUCUCUGCCUUCUUCUUGGAAUCCGGUUACCAUGUUGAGAGGGGCCCAAGCCACAUAGAGGCCAACAGCCAAGUAUUUGCAGCCAUCUGGGUGAGCCAUGUAGGACAUCCCACACCAAUAAGACCCCCUGAAUUGGAGCAGUGGAGCAGACGUGGAGCAGACGCAGCCCAGCGAAGGCCAGUAUCACAGGCCCGAACAAAAUGUUUUAAGCCAUUAAAUUUUGGUGUGGCUUGCUCUGCAGCCAGAGAUAACUGAAAUAGGUGUAACCAAAGAGUCUGUAAGAAGGAAGAUUUACCUUGCUAACCAAUGCAGAAUAACAAAGCACAUGAAAUAACAUUUGCUGAGUCAGAAGACCACUGUCUAGAACAGGUGAUUACAUCCUUAGCCUUUAGUAGGUUUUGACUUCAAAACUGACCCCAGCUUUCAAGCCUCUUUUUGAUGCUCAACACGGACAAUUUCAAAAAGAAAAAAUUUCACUUUAAUCCAGCCUCACCCCCACAUGUGUGUUUCACACAGACCGUCUUUUUUAAACAGAGUUUAUUGUAUUUAAUCCAUUAUAAAAUUUGAAAAAUUGUAGGAAAGCAGCAGACUUGAACUGGAGCAAUUCUAACAAGGAAUAAUUCUGGCCCCUUGGCAAAACUGAUCAGUUUUAAAA
Rhinopithecus roxellana (golden snub-nosed monkey) is the source of this 925-nucleotide long non-coding RNA. RefSeq lists it as uncharacterized. The transcript is spliced from 2 exons. Lineage: Eukaryota; Metazoa; Chordata; Mammalia; Primates; Cercopithecidae. The record is from RefSeq and is a predicted model, not a curated record.